Molecule: long non-coding RNA, 931 nt
Organism: Pan paniscus (pygmy chimpanzee)
Lineage: Eukaryota; Metazoa; Chordata; Mammalia; Primates; Hominidae
Source: Ensembl
CAGAUCUUAAAGAUUUUCCGGAAGACAAUCUUGCUCUUCAACUGAGAAUCCUAUUUAAAUCGUAACCCUUGCAACCUUAGGCCAGUGAGGCUGCUUCUGUCUGAGAGAAGUAAUUAUUCAUCAACUUCCAUAAUUACAAAAUCUUAGAGCAGGCAAAGACCAUAUGGAGGUUGUUGAGUCCAACUUGAUUACUCAGAAGAAAAAUAGACACUAAUGUUGGGUUUCUGCAAAACCCAGUUUCCUUUCUACUUUAAUAUCUAGCAUUCUAUAUUUGUGAAGUUAAUAUCUUAGAUUAAGAAAAAAUUCAUCCUUGCACUCACCCGAACACGUAGCCUCACCUUAUGACAUCAUAGUCACCAUAGCAACACCCGUGAGUUGGCAGCAUAUUGCCUUCAGUGAGGGAUCAUGGCAAUGAGUUAACAAAGGAUGGCAGCUUCAGAUGUUGAUGUGAACAGGAAGGGAAGAAGUGGAAAAGGAGGAACAGGGAGUGGAGAAAUAGACGCCUGGAAAGAGGAAACUAGAGGAAGAGAAACCACAGAGAGCAGUUUGAAGGCAGAAGCACGCCCACAGGGUGCUUUGGAGACCCUCCAGGCUGCAGAGAAGAGCAAGGUUGAAAAUCAAUGCAUCUGGUUCACCUUGAAUCUUGAGCUGCAUAUUUUUAGCAUCAGAAAAGCCUGUAUUGCCAGCAUUACUGGAGAAAAAGCAGAUAACCCCACAACGUCCUCCAGCCAAGGAGGAGGGCAGAGGGCUCAGAGGAGCAGAGUGCCUGCAGCUUAGAUGAUUCACCAGCCUUGAUUCUUACAGCAUGCAGGCUGGUGACUAUGACCCAGGGACCAUGAACCAUGAGUUAGAAUUUUCUGACAGAGUCCCUGAUCUCAGGCUACCAUUUUCUUUAAUAAUUGAGAUAAGCAUGGGAAGGAGGCUUAAAGUA